Megalobrama amblycephala (Wuchang bream) is the source of this 221-nucleotide long non-coding RNA. RefSeq lists it as uncharacterized. Lineage: Eukaryota; Metazoa; Chordata; Actinopteri; Cypriniformes; Xenocyprididae. The transcript is spliced from 2 exons. The record is from RefSeq and is a predicted model, not a curated record.
CAUCUGUUGCGGCCAGCGCGCCGCAGAGACACCGAGAAACAGCGCCCCCUGCAGGGCGUGUCCGACAGCGACACACAGCGUCGACGCGACUGCCAGCAGCUGUGAGAGACACUCACAGAGCAAACACACUACCUCCAGAUAUGGGCCACACGCAUCUGCGGCGUGAACGUAGCCGAGCUGAACCGGGAGCAGAACGCAAGUCAGGAGAGAGUGAGAACGAA